RNAcentral lists this ribosomal RNA (496 nucleotides) under uncultured bacterium. RNAcentral's name for it is "partial 16S ribosomal RNA". It matches the Rfam family "Bacterial small subunit ribosomal RNA", at positions 29 to 507 of the family's 1533-position model. The record is from RNAcentral.
AUGAACGCUGGCGGCGUGCCUCAUACAUGCCAGUCGAGCGCACAGACGAGGAGCUUGCUCCUCUGACGUUAGCGGCGGACGGGUGAGUAACACGUGGAUAACCUACCUAUAAGACUGGGAUAACUUCGGGAAACCGGAGCUAAUACCGGAUAAUAUAUUGAACCGCAUGGUUCAAUAGUGAAAGACGGUUUUGCUGUCACUUAUAGAUGGAUCCGCGCCGCAUUAGCUAGUUGGUAAGGUAACGGCUUACCAAGGCAACGAUGCGUAGCCGACCUGAGAGGGUGAUCGGCCACACUGGAACUGAGACACGGUCCAGACUCCUACGGGAGGCAGCAGUAGGGAAUCUUCCGCAAUGGGCGAAAGCCUGACGGAGCAACGCCGCGUGAGUGAUGAAGGUCUUCGGAUCGUAAAACUCUGUUAUUAGGGAAGAACAAAUGUGUAAGUAACUAUGCACGUCUUGACGGUACCUAAUCAGAAAGCCACGGCUAACUACGUG